RNAcentral lists this non-coding RNA (23 nucleotides) under Rattus norvegicus (Norway rat). Lineage: Eukaryota; Metazoa; Chordata; Mammalia; Rodentia; Muridae. The record is from RNAcentral.
UGAAGUGUCAACACAGGCUGAGA